This 467-nucleotide ribosomal RNA is filed under the name uncultured bacterium. Its description in RNAcentral is "bacterial SSU rRNA". It matches the Rfam family "Bacterial small subunit ribosomal RNA", at positions 8 to 521 of the family's 1533-position model. The record is from RNAcentral.
AGAGUUUGAUCCUGGCUCAGAACGAACGCUGGCGGCAUGCCUAACACAUGCAAGUCGAACGAAGGCUUCGGCCUUAGUGGCGCACGGGUGCGUAACGCGUGGGAAUCUGCCCUUGGGUUCGGAAUAACAGUUAGAAAUGACUGCUAAUACCGGAUGAUGACGAAAGUCCAAAGAUUUAUCGCCCAGGGAUGAGCCCGCGUAGGAUUAGGUAGUUGGUGGGGUAAAGGCUCACCAAGCCGACGAUCCUUAGCUGGUCUGAGAGGAUGAUCAGCCACACUGGGACUGAGACACGGCCCAGACUCCUACGGGAGGCAGCAGUGGGGAAUAUUGGACAAUGGGCGCAAGCCUGAUCCAGCAAUGCCGCGUGAGUGAUGAAGGCCUUAGGGUCGUAAAGCUCUUUUACCAGGGAUGAUAAUGACAGUACCUGGAGAAUAAGCUCCGGCUAACUCCGUGCCAGCCGCCGCGGU